CCCCCAAAGCAGCUGUACUCACCUUUCCUGGGGAGGGUUAUAAGGCUACCACCGGGAGCCGCCUCACCCUUGCAUUGACUCUGUCCACACCAAGCAUUAAGCAGUUUUUCGUUGAAAUUAAGCUGCUUUUCUUUGAAAUACCAUUUGGGUAACCCUGACUGACCUGGUCUCCACAGGGGUCUUCUGUGGACAGUUUAGUUACCAGAUUCGAGAAUGCUGAAUGUCUAUA
This is a non-coding RNA of Pelobates cultripes (western spadefoot toad), 229 nucleotides long. The record is from the annotation of a GenBank genome assembly. NCBI's taxonomy places the organism in Eukaryota, Metazoa, Chordata, Amphibia, Anura, Pelobatidae.